CAUAUGUUUGUAAACAUAUGAAAAACAUAUGAUUUUCAUAUGUUUUCAUAUGUUUUAAAGGACAUUUAAAAAAAAAAUGUUUUGAGAAAAUGUCAAAAUUUGUCAUUUAAUUAUCACAUACAUUUUUUCAUUCAUUAUCUAUAUAGUGUAUUUAUCAAACAGGAAAGUGCACUUUCUACUCUUCCCACUAAAUCCCACAUCAUCGUGAUGAUAAAAGCAUGUCAGCCCUCAGGCUAUGUCACCCCCACAGCAGAGCUAUCUAAUUCUGAAUGGAACAUAAUGUAAAAUAAAUGAAUGAGUUAUAGAUAUUAAAUAAUAAUAUGAAUAAAUAUUCUGUAUUUAGUUUGUUCUUUAUUCUCAAUUCUUUUUUUUUUAUCAAUAAUCCCAUUAUUCUCUAUGAUUCUUUAUUCCAUAUUUCUGCUUUUUUUAAGUAUCUGUUCUUUAUUUUUUUUGUUCUUUAUUUUGCACUUUUUGUCAUUAUUUUCUAUAUUCUUAAACCCCAAUCUUGAUUCCAGACCAUCAAUAUAUACGUAAAUGUAAGAAAGCUUGAAUGGUACGUCGAAUACGGAAACCCGGAAAUCUUUUCACCGUUACCGUUUUUUAUACUAUGACGCAAAAUCCAUGGACGCUCACGCGAUCUGCUGUUCAGCCUGUUGUCAUUUAAAAAGUUUGAAUGGACAGAGAUAGAUGAUACAAAGAACUUUGGUUUUUCAAACUGGUGAAUCAAAAUUUAUUAUAAACAGAUAAAUUGAAAUGGGUGACUUGUCGAUUAACUGGAAGAAACUGGGGAACGAAACAUAGAAAAUUUAUGGAAAGUCAACGCAACGAAACAGCGAAAGUGUUUUUGUUUUGAUGGAUAGUUUUACGUACCCUAAAAGCACAACGAAAGCAUUUUCAAUGAAAGUACAUUUUGUACUUCAAGAAGUAGAAGAAUCUAAGCAACAGAACAGAAUUCAUUUGAGGCAUUGCUUUCUAGAUUAUAUAAUGGAUUCAUAGAUUGUCAUAUUGAUUUAUGUGCAUAUAAGGAGCAGCAGGCAAUAAUUAUUUUGUGAUGAGAGCUUGUUACCAUGGUUACCAUAUGAAAGGAAAGGACAGUAUUAGAAUCACUGGUGUACAUGUAGGUGCGGAUGUUAGGCAAAAAGAACUGGUAUCAAAGAACUGAAAAGUAAAGAAACAGAACCAAAGAACAUUAAUUUUUAAUUAAUACAAUAUUGAGCUCAAAGUCAAUCUAGUUGUCUUUCUUAAUCAUACAGGAUAUUUCCAAAAAGCAGCUGCAUACACAUGCACCAGUAAUAGCCAGCAGUGUAGACAAUUACAUAUCUGUGUAUGGUGAUAUAGCAAUAGAAAUAUCACAUAUAUACAUCAUACGAAAAUAUAAUAUAGACAAUAGAAAUGGAGUACACAUGUAUGUCAUAGAGACACACAUAUGAAAAUAGAAUAUAGACAAUAGAAAUGGGGUAUGUCAAAGAGACACACAUGUGAAAAUAGAAUAUAGACAAUAGAAAUGGGGUAUGUCAAAGAGACACACAUAUGAAAAUAUAAUAUAGACAAUAGAAAUGGGGUAUGUCAAAGAGACACACAUAUGAAAAUAUAAUAUAGACAAUAGAAAUGGGGUAUGUCAAAGAGACAAACAUAUGAAAAUAUAAUAUAGACAAUAGAAAUGGGAUAUGUCAAAGAGACACACAUAUGAAAAUAUAAUAUAGACAAUAGAAAUGGAGUAUGUCAAAGAGACACACAUAUGAAAAUAUAAUAUAGACAAUAGAAAUGGGGUAUGUCAAAGAGACACACAUAUGAAAAUAUAAUAUAGACAAUAGAAAUGGAGUAUGUCAAAGAGACACAUAUGAAAAUAGAAUAUAGACAAUAAAAUUGGGGUAUGUCAAAGAGACAAACAUGAAAAUAGAAUAUAGACAAUACAAAAUGGGGUAUGUCAAAGAGACUAACAUAUGAAAAUAUAAUAUAGACAAUAGAAAUGGGGUAUGUCAAAGAGACACACAUAUGAAAAUAGAAUAUAGACAAUACUAGAAAUGGUGUAUGUCGAAGAGACAAACAAAUGAAAAUAGAAUAUAACAAUAGAAAUAUGGUACAAUGUAUGUCAAAGAGACAAAAAUAUGAAAAUAAAAGAGACAACAACUGAAUAAAAAAAAAAUUCUACUUUAUAUAAAAAUUAUGGAGCACUUAUUGUUUUUUAUUUGUUUGAGCUUUUGAUUUUGCCAUGUAUUUUCUGUGGAGUUUGGUAUUUUGGGUAUUUUUACUUUUUAAAGCAACAACUCAUCACAAUGAAGUAUUUACACUCAAAAUGAGUUCUUGACAGAAAAAAAAGAUAACAAAUUAAAGAAAAACAUAUUAAAAAACAUCAAAACGUUACCCUUAAAAACCUAUCGCAAAAAAAAAAAAUA
This is a long non-coding RNA of Mytilus californianus (California mussel), 2396 nucleotides long. RefSeq lists it as uncharacterized. The transcript is spliced from 4 exons. Lineage: Eukaryota; Metazoa; Mollusca; Bivalvia; Mytilida; Mytilidae. The record is from RefSeq and is a predicted model, not a curated record.